UAAACCUUGAGUCAACACAGCACGUCUCUGC
Molecule: non-coding RNA, 31 nt
Filed under: Homo sapiens (human)
Lineage: Eukaryota; Metazoa; Chordata; Mammalia; Primates; Hominidae
Source: RNAcentral